GGAGUGGAAAUUUAAUAUCAUGAUUUGCAAUUAUGAGUAUGGUGAUAACGCCCCACUUUA
This 60-nucleotide transfer RNA is filed under the name Bemisia afer. RNAcentral's name for it is "tRNA-Ala". The record is from RNAcentral. Lineage: Eukaryota; Metazoa; Arthropoda; Insecta; Hemiptera; Aleyrodidae.